GGUUAAGCGACUAAGCGUACACGGUGGAUGCCCUGGCAGUCAGAGGCGAUGAAGGACGUGCUAAUCUGCGAUAAGCGUCGGUAAGGUGAUAUGAACCGUUAUAACCGGCGAUUUCCGAAUGGGGAAACCCAGUGUGAUUCGUCACACUAUCAUUAACUGAAUCCAUAGGUUAAUGAGGCGAACCGGGGGAACUGAAACAUCUAAGUACCCCGAGGAAAAGAAAUCAACCGAGAUUCCCCCAGUAGCGGCGAGCGAACGGGGAGCAGCCCAGAGCCUGAAUCAGUGUGUGUGUUAGUGGAAGCGUCUGGAAAGGCGCGCGAUACAGGGUGACAGCCCCGUACACAAAAAUGCACAUGCUGUGAGCUCGAUGAGUAGGGCGGGACACGUGGUAUCCUGUCUGAAUAUGGGGGGACCAUCCUCCAAGGCUAAAUACUCCUGACUGACCGAUAGUGAACCAGUACCGUGAGGGAAAGGCGAAAAGAACCCCGGCGAGGGGAGUGAAAAAGAACCUGAAACCGUGUACGUACAAGCAGUGGGAGCACGCUUAGGCGUGUGACUGCGUACCUUUUGUAUAAUGGGUCAGCGACUUAUAUUCUGUAGCAAGGUUAACCGAAUAGGGGAGCCGAAGGGAAACCGAGUCUUAACUGGGCGUUAAGUUGCAGGGUAUAGACCCGAAACCCGGUGAUCUAGCCAUGGGCAGGUUGAAGGUUGGGUAACACUAACUGGAGGACCGAACCGACUAAUGUUGAAAAAUUAGCGGAUGACUUGUGGCUGGGGGUGAAAGGCCAAUCAAACCGGGAGAUAGCUGGUUCUCCCCGAAAGCUAUUUAGGUAGCGCCUCGUGAAUUCAUCUCCGGGGGUAGAGCACUGUUUCGGCAAGGGGGUCAUCCCGACUUACCAACCCGAUGCAAACUGCGAAUACCGGAGAAUGUUAUCACGGGAGACACACGGCGGGUGCUAACGUCCGUCGUGAAGAGGGAAACAACCCAGACCGCCAGCUAAGGUCCCAAAGUCAUGGUUAAGUGGGAAACGAUGUGGGAAGGCCCAGACAGCCAGGAUGUUGGCUUAGAAGCAGCCAUCAUUUAAAGAAAGCGUAAUAGCUCACUGGUCGAGUCGGCCUGCGCGGAAGAUGUAACGGGGCUAAACCAUGCACCGAAGCUGCGGCAGCGACGCUUAUGCGUUGUUGGGUAGGGGAGCGUUCUGUAAGCCUGUGAAGGUGUACUGUGAGGUAUGCUGGAGGUAUCAGAAGUGCGAAUGCUGACAUAAGUAACGAUAAAGCGGGUGAAAAGCCCGCUCGCCGGAAGACCAAGGGUUCCUGUCCAACGUUAAUCGGGGCAGGGUGAGUCGACCCCUAAGGCGAGGCCGAAAGGCGUAGUCGAUGGGAAACAGGUUAAUAUUCCUGUACUUGGUGUUACUGCGAAGGGGGGACGGAGAAGGCUAUGUUGGCCGGGCGACGGUUGUCCCGGUUUAAGCGUGUAGGCUGGUUUUCCAGGCAAAUCCGGAAAAUCAAGGCUGAGGCGUGAUGACGAGGCACUACGGUGCUGAAGCAACAAAUGCCCUGCUUCCAGGAAAAGCCUCUAAGCAUCAGGUAACAUCAAAUCGUACCCCAAACCGACACAGGUGGUCAGGUAGAGAAUACCAAGGCGCUUGAGAGAACUCGGGUGAAGGAACUAGGCAAAAUGGUGCCGUAACUUCGGGAGAAGGCACGCUGAUAUGUAGGUGAAGCGACUUGCUCGUGGAGCUGAAAUCAGUCGAAGAUACCAGCUGGCUGCAACUGUUUAUUAAAAACACAGCACUGUGCAAACACGAAAGUGGACGUAUACGGUGUGACGCCUGCCCGGUGCCGGAAGGUUAAUUGAUGGGGUUAGCGCAAGCGAAGCUCUUGAUCGAAGCCCCGGUAAACGGCGGCCGUAACUAUAACGGUCCUAAGGUAGCGAAAUUCCUUGUCGGGUAAGUUCCGACCUGCACGAAUGGCGUAAUGAUGGCCAGGCUGUCUCCACCCGAGACUCAGUGAAAUUGAACUCGCUGUGAAGAUGCAGUGUACCCGCGGCAAGACGGAAAGACCCCGUGAACCUUUACUAUAGCUUGACACUGAACAUUGAGCCUUGAUGUGUAGGAUAGGUGGGAGGCUUUGAAGUGUGGACGCCAGUCUGCAUGGAGCCGACCUUGAAAUACCACCCUU
RNAcentral lists this ribosomal RNA (2181 nucleotides) under Escherichia coli. Its description in RNAcentral is "partial 23S ribosomal RNA". It matches the Rfam family "Bacterial large subunit ribosomal RNA", at positions 1 to 2207 of the family's 2925-position model. Lineage: Bacteria; Pseudomonadati; Pseudomonadota; Gammaproteobacteria; Enterobacterales; Enterobacteriaceae. The record is from RNAcentral.